GCCUACGGGGGGCAGCAGUGAGGAAUAUUGGUCAAUGGGCUUACGCCUGAACCAGCCAAGUCGCGUGAGGGAAGACUGCCCCGUGGGUUGUAAACCUCUUUUGUCAGGGAGCAACGCCGGCUACGUGUAGCCGGACUGAGAGUACCUGAAGAAAAAGCAUCGGCUAACUCCGUGCCAGCAGCCGCGGUAAUACGGAGGAUGCGAGCGUUAUCCGGAUUUAUUGGGUUUAAAGAGUGCGUAGUCGGAAUGCCAAGUCAGCGGUAAAAUCACGAGGCUCAACCUCACUCCGCCUUUGAAACUGCCGG
RNAcentral lists this ribosomal RNA (305 nucleotides) under uncultured bacterium. RNAcentral describes it as "bacterial SSU rRNA". It matches the Rfam family "Bacterial small subunit ribosomal RNA", at positions 337 to 639 of the family's 1533-position model. The record is from RNAcentral.